AUGGGAUGUAGGUAUAAGUAUCCCUUAGACUUGAGAUCGCCUCAGUGACUUGCAAGCAACUCACUGUGCUUUGAUACUGGACUAACUGAAUUUCUAAUUCAGGGAUGGAAGGCUUCUGGGCGCAGUCAAGUACUUGCGAAGUCAGAGUGUGAUCGAGAUGGGAUUGACCACUCCAAGAGUUGGAGAAGAAUGAGUCGCUGUAUUUCAAUUUAGCAAAACCUUGGCCAGGGUAAUCCAUCAGAUGGAUUUGAUAUUUUGAAAUACAAUGUGAACAACCUGAUCAGAGUUGACAGUUGAACUCUGGGGUAUCCUAUGAUCAUUUUG
Molecule: long non-coding RNA, 324 nt
Filed under: Elaeis guineensis (African oil palm)
Lineage: Eukaryota; Viridiplantae; Streptophyta; Magnoliopsida; Arecales; Arecaceae
Description: long non-coding RNA (EGUI_LNC082194)
Source: RNAcentral